RNAcentral lists this ribosomal RNA (406 nucleotides) under uncultured bacterium. RNAcentral describes it as "partial 16S ribosomal RNA". It matches the Rfam family "Bacterial small subunit ribosomal RNA", at positions 30 to 526 of the family's 1533-position model. The record is from RNAcentral.
UUGAACGCUGGCGGCUGCUUAACACAUGCAAGUCGAACGGAGUGGAGAACGGGUGAGUAACGCGUGAGCAACCUGCCUAUGACAGUGGGAUAGCCUCGGGAAACCGGGAUUAAUACCGCAUAGUCAUAGAGUGGCUCGCGUCAGAUUCGCUAGUUGUUGAGAUAACAGCCCACCAAGGCGACGAUCAGUAGCCGGUCUGGGAGGAUGAACGGCAACAUUGGAACGGGGACACGGUCCAAACUCCUACGGGAGGCAGCAGUGGGGAAGAUUGCACAAUGGGGGAAACCCUGAUGCAGCGACGCCGCGUGAACGAAGAAGGUAGUCGUAUCGUAAAGUUCUGUCCUAUGGGAAGCAGUACCAUAGAAGAAAGCUCCGGCUAAAUACGUGCCAGCCGCCGCGGUAAUAC